This 465-nucleotide ribosomal RNA is filed under the name uncultured bacterium. RNAcentral describes it as "partial 16S ribosomal RNA". It matches the Rfam family "Bacterial small subunit ribosomal RNA", at positions 338 to 795 of the family's 1533-position model. The record is from RNAcentral.
CCUACGGGUGGCAGCAGUGGGGAAUAUUGCGCAAUGGGCGAAAGCCUGACGCAGCGACGCCGCGUGAGUGAUGAAGGUCUUCGGAUCGUAAACCUCUGUCAGCAGGGAAGAACGGUAACUGUGCUAAUCAGCAGUGAAUUGACGGUACCUGCAAAGGAAGCACCGGCUAACUCCGUGCCAGCAGCCGCGGUAAUACGGAGGGUGCGAGCGUUAAUCGGAAUUACUGGGCGUAAAGCGCUCGUAGGCGGUAGGUCAAGUCAAGGGUGAAAUCCCCGGGCUCAACGUGGGAACUGCAUUGGAAACUGGCAAGCUUGAGGUUGUGAGAGGAGAGUGGAAUUCCAGGUGUAGGAGUGAAAUGCGUAGAUAUCUGGAGGAACAUCGGUGGCGAAGGCGACUAUCUGGCACAUGACUGACGCUGAGGAGCGAAAGCGUGGGUAGCAAACAGGAUUAGAUACCCGAGUAGUC